AACGAACGCUGGCGGCAUGCCUAACACAUGCAAGUCGAACGAGACCUUCGGGUCUAGUGGCGCACGGGUGCGUAACGCGUGGGAACCUGCCCUUAGGUUCGGAAUAACUCCCCGAAAGGGGUGCUAAUACCGGAUAAUGUCUUCGGACCAAAGAUUUAUCGCCUUUGGAUGGGCCCGCGUUGGAUUAGCUAGUUGGUAGGGUAAAAGCCUACCAAGGCGACGAUCCAUAGCUGGUCUGAGAGGAUGAUCAGCCACACUGGGACUGAGACACGGCCCAGACUCCUACGGGAGGCAGCAGUGGGGAAUAUUGGACCAUGGGCGAAAGCCUGAUCCAGCAAUGCCGCGUGAGUGAUGAGGGCCUUAGGGUUGUAAAGCUCUUUUACCCGGGAUGAUAAUGACAGUACCGGGAGAAUAAGCUCCGGCUAACUCCGUG
RNAcentral lists this ribosomal RNA (433 nucleotides) under uncultured bacterium. Its description in RNAcentral is "partial 16S ribosomal RNA". It matches the Rfam family "Bacterial small subunit ribosomal RNA", at positions 29 to 507 of the family's 1533-position model. The record is from RNAcentral.